This 811-nucleotide long non-coding RNA is filed under the name Homo sapiens (human). RNAcentral describes it as "HSALNT0309858". The record is from RNAcentral. Lineage: Eukaryota; Metazoa; Chordata; Mammalia; Primates; Hominidae.
CGUGAUCCACCCACCUCAGCCUCCCAAAGUGCUAGGAUUACAGGUGUGAGCCACCAUGCCCGGCCAGGAAUAUUUUUUAUACACAGUUGAAUCCACAGAAAUGGAGGGCCAACUGUAUUUGAUAUCAUUUUAAUCAAGUGCUGCGUAUAUCUUUGGCAAACAGGAGAUGCUCAGAUUAUCUCGUAAUUGGACAGAGGAGCCCCUCCAUCCAGUGGGCUUUGAUGCCUCCUUGCUCUGGGGCCACAGCUGCCUCUGACUUUUCCUGCCCAGAACCUGGAACUACCCAUUUCUCCAGAGCCCUGGUUCUCGUUAGUGGGGAGUGGGAAUUGGAGGGAGUGGGAAUUGGAGGCCACAGACUGAGCACUGACUGCUUAUGAUGGCUGGGCUGCUCUACCUCCCAGCCUUUCCAUGGACAAAACCAGAAAAUUGUUCUAAAAUUUAUUUUCUCAGCUAGGCGCGGUGGCUCAUGCCUGUAAUCCCAGCACUUUGGGAGGCCGAGGUGGAUGGAUCACCUGAGGCCCUCAAUAUGCAUUCCCACGGUCCUGGGAUUUCUAUGUAAACUGGAAAACUCACGUUCUCUUUGACACCGUGAGGCUGGGAGUUCCACAUGUGCUAUAAUCCAGCCACUGGAAGGGCGAGAUUCUGGGUUUGAUUUUCAGUAGUCUCAGACCCGCAGCUAAAGGAGGUAAGAGUCUCUCUUGGGACAGUCAUAACUUUCAGAUUAUUCAUGUGACACUUCAGCUGGGAAUCUGAAUCCUGAGCUCACUCCCAUGAUACUUUUUCUGAGAUGGAGUCUCACUCUGUAGCCCAG